RNAcentral lists this transfer RNA (75 nucleotides) under Candidatus Saccharimonadota bacterium. RNAcentral describes it as "tRNA-Asn". It matches the Rfam family "tRNA". Rfam says of the family: Transfer RNA (tRNA) molecules are approximately 80 nucleotides in length. Lineage: Bacteria; Candidatus Saccharimonadota. The record is from RNAcentral.
UCCAGGGUAGCUCAGCGGUAGAGCAGUGCGCUGUUAACGCAUUGGUCGCGAGUUCGAAUCUCGCCCCUGGAGCCA